This 497-nucleotide ribosomal RNA is filed under the name uncultured bacterium. Its description in RNAcentral is "partial 16S ribosomal RNA". It matches the Rfam family "Bacterial small subunit ribosomal RNA", at positions 28 to 507 of the family's 1533-position model. The record is from RNAcentral.
GAUGAACGCUGGCGGCGUGCCUAAUACAUGCAAGUCGAGCGAACGGUCGAGAAGCUGUCUUCUCUGAUUUUAGCGGCGGACGGGUGAGUAACACGGGGAUAACCUACCUAUAAGACUGGGAUAACUUCGGGAAAUCAUGUCUAAUACCGGAUGAUAUUUUGAACCUCAUUGUUCAAAAGUUAAAUACGGUCUUUCGUUCGCUUAUAGAUGGAUCCGCGCUGCAUUAGUUAGUGGGUAGGGUAACUGCUUAGCAAGGCAACGAUGCAUAGCCGACCUAAAAGGGUGAAUGGACAGCCUGGCACUGAGAAACGGCCCACACUCCUACGGGGGGACACAGCAGGGACUCCUACGCAAUGGGCGAAUGCGUAACGGAGCACAGCCGGCUGAGUGAUGAAGGUCUUAGGAUGGUAGAGCUCUGUUAUCAGUGAAGAAGAUAUGUGUAAGUACCUGUGAACAUAUUGACGGUACCUAAUGAGAAAGCCACGGCUAACUCCGUG